This 378-nucleotide unclassified non-coding RNA is filed under the name uncultured Thermoleophilia bacterium. RNAcentral describes it as "contains 16S-23S intergenic spacer region". Lineage: Bacteria; Bacillati; Actinomycetota; Thermoleophilia. The record is from RNAcentral.
UCCCCGUUUUCCGGGGCAGUCCCUGUAGAGUUCCCGGCAUGACCCGCUGGCAACUACAGGCAAGGGUUGCGCUCGUUGCGGGACUUAACCCAACAUCUCACGACACGAGCUGACGACAGCCAUGCACCACCUGUGAACCUGCCCCGAAGGGAAGACCUGUUUCCAGGCCGGUCAGGCACAUGUCAAGCCCAGGUAAGGUUCUUCGCGUUGCGUCAAAUUAAACCACAUGCUCCGCUGCUUGUGCGGGCCCCCGUCAAUUCCGUUGAGUUUUAGCCUUGCGGCCGUACUCCCCAGGCGGGGCACUUAAUGCGUUAGCUUCGGCACGGAGGGAGUCGACACCCCCCACACCUAGUGCCCAUCGUUUACGGCGUGGACUAC